GGACUCGGGGGUUGGGGGUGGACUUCUUCUGAAGCUGGGAGGGGUGCGGGUGGGCAGGGCUUAGGGAGCCUGAGGGAGGCGCGGUUCCUGGGGGAAGGGUGUGGCGAGGCGGCGGCAGCCCGCGUGGCGCUGUGGCGCCCCAGCGAAGGGGCAGUGCUGGCCACUCGUGUGGCCCUUUGGCUGCUGGCACCCAGUGAGAGGGGGGAGGCCAGGGACAGGUGGCAGCCAGGCUGCCCACAGGCCCUGGGCGGUGGGGGGCCCGGCCCUGUGCCUUGGGCAGCCUGGCCCCUUGCUGAGGCGUGCUUGCGCGUGUCCGUUGUCGCCCUCACCCAGCUGCUGCGGCGGAGAGACGGAGGCCAGCGCGGGGAGCGGAAGCCGGAGCCUGUCGGGAGCGACCCCGGGAGGCCAGUCCCUCCUGCCGGGGGAGGCGUGUUGGCGUGCGGCCGGUGGCGGGAUCGAUGGCCACCUGGUAGGCGAUGCUGCUGCGGCGGAGAGACGGAGGCCAGCGCGGGGAGCGGAAGCCGGAGCCUGUCGGGAGCGACCCCGGGAAGGCCAGUCCCUCCUGCCGGUGGGAGGCGUGUUGGCGUGCGGCCGGUGGCGGAUCGAUGGCCACCUGGUAGGCGAUGGUAAGCGGCAGUGGCCUGCGCCAAGGUAGCCCCCGGGGGCGGUGUGUGGCGCCCGGACCCGCACCCUCUGCUCCCGGGGGUGGAGCUGACCUGCUUGCCCGCGGUUGGGCUCGGGAGCCUGCGGGCCGCGGCCAGGAGGGAGCUGGCUGGCCGUCCCGGCGGUGGGGGCUGUGGCGGUGGCCGUCCCGCGGGUGUGCCCGUGCUCGGAUCGAUGAUGACACCCACAAACGCAUUCCUUGGAAAAUCUGAACAAAAUGAGUGAGAACUCACUACCGUCUCCUCAUCGCAAACUGAGGUCCGGCACGUGGCUCCCACAGGGGCCGUCGGGGGAGGGUCCCGUUGCCUUGGCUCCCUUGGGUGCGUGCAGCCCUGGGGCGCAGGUGGGGCAGGCA
RNAcentral lists this long non-coding RNA (1018 nucleotides) under Sus scrofa (pig). RNAcentral's name for it is "lncRNA (ENSSSCG00070002781.1)". The stretch from base 832 to 925 matches the Rfam family "Small nucleolar RNA SNORD116". Lineage: Eukaryota; Metazoa; Chordata; Mammalia; Artiodactyla; Suidae. The record is from RNAcentral.